UAAGGUACGGUGUUUGUGCACAAAGGUUUUUGGUACCUUUAGAGAGUAUAAAGUUGCUCUACCUUAG
This 67-nucleotide transfer RNA is filed under the name Lottia goshimai. Its description in RNAcentral is "tRNA-Gln". Lineage: Eukaryota; Metazoa; Mollusca; Gastropoda; Lottiidae. The record is from RNAcentral.